CCUACGGGAGGCAGCAGUGGGGAAUCUUGCGCAAUGGGCGAAAGCCUGACGCAGCCAUGCCGCGUGUAUGAUGAAGGUCUUAGGAUUGUAAAAUACUUUCACCGGUGAAGAUAAUGACUGUAGCCGGAGAAGAAGCCCCGGCUAACUUCGUGCCAGCAGCCGCGGUAAUACGAAGGGGGCUAGCGUUGCUCGGAAUUACUGGGCGUAAAGGGAGCGUAGGCGGACAUUUAAGUCAGAGGUGAAAUCCCGGAGCUUAACUUCGGAACUGCCUUUGAUACUGGGUGUCUUGAGUGUGAGAGAGGUAUGUGGAACUCCGAGUGUAGAGGUGAAAUUCGUAGAUAUUCGGAAGAACACCAGUGGCGAAGGCGACAUACUGGCUCAUUACUGACGCUGAGGCUCGAAAGCGUGGGGAGCAAACAGGAUUAGAUACCCUGGUAGUCCACGCCGUAAACGAUGAUUGCUAGUUGUCGGGAAGCUUGCUUCUCGGUGACGCAGCUAACGCAUUAAGCAAUCCGCCUGGGGAGUACGGUCGCAAGAUUAAAACUCAAAGGAAUUGAGG
This 559-nucleotide ribosomal RNA is filed under the name uncultured bacterium. Its description in RNAcentral is "bacterial SSU rRNA". It matches the Rfam family "Bacterial small subunit ribosomal RNA", at positions 338 to 915 of the family's 1533-position model. The record is from RNAcentral.